Molecule: long non-coding RNA, 501 nt
Filed under: Homo sapiens (human)
Lineage: Eukaryota; Metazoa; Chordata; Mammalia; Primates; Hominidae
Description: HSALNT0049167
Source: RNAcentral
AGAAUCCUGAGCUGUAUUUGGAUAUGGGGUGGGCCUUGAAGGGAGGAGGGGUGGACAGGAGACCCCUGGCUCUCCUCAAAUCCAGGGACUAGAGGGCCUGCAGUGCUGCCAUUGGAGGGUCAUUCUUUGGCGUCCUUUUCUCUGUACAGAUCUUCCAAGACACCCGCCUCCUGAUGUGAAUUCUCCAAAGCCUGAAGUCAUCCAAAGGCCAAAUAAGAUUGCAUGCCAGGAGUGAUAUCUGAAAGUAGAAAAUAGAACCUUUGGUGUUCCAGUCAAAAUGAAGGGAAGAUGAGAAGGUAGGUUUAACAUCAAGCAAAUUACACCAGCUUUUCAACUUUGAGGCUCACUUUUCCCCUCCUUUCUUUCUGAUAGCUAGAUUUGGUCUUAAAAGAUUACCAUAAGAUUGUUAAACUGACAAUUCAUUAUUUUUUCCUGACAGUGCAUAAAAAUAGUAUGGAUUGCCUUAUGGGUAGAAAGUUGUUCUUAGAAGCUGGAUCCCUG